ACCGGAUGUCCCGAGGGCAGU
RNAcentral lists this unclassified non-coding RNA (21 nucleotides) under Chlamydomonas reinhardtii. RNAcentral's name for it is "small RNA Cre_0269". Lineage: Eukaryota; Viridiplantae; Chlorophyta; Chlorophyceae; Chlamydomonadales; Chlamydomonadaceae. The record is from RNAcentral.